AGCUCCAAUAGCGUAUAUUAAAGUUGUUGCAGUUAAAAAGCUCGUAGUUGGAUUUCUGGUGGGAGGGAUCGGUACUUCAUUCUUUGUUGUGACUUGAAUCCUCUCCGGCCAUCCUUGGGUGGAUCUUGUCUGGCAUUAAGUUGUCAGGCAGGGGAUGCCCAUCGUUUACUGUGAAAAAAUUAGAGUGUUCAAAGCAGGCUUAUGCCGUUGAAUAUAUUAGCAUGGAAUAAUAAGAUAGGGCCCUGGUACUAUUUUGUUGGUUUGCGUACCGAGGUAAUGAUUAAUAGGGACAGUUGGGGGUAUUUGUAUUCAGUAUUCAGUGGUGAAAUACUUAGACCUACGGAAGACAAACUACUGCGAAAGCAUUUACCAAGGAUGUUUUCA
Molecule: ribosomal RNA, 384 nt
Filed under: uncultured eukaryote
Lineage: Eukaryota
Description: SSU rRNA
Rfam family: Eukaryotic small subunit ribosomal RNA
Source: RNAcentral